CUGAGGUGCCCGACGCACAACAUUUUGAACGUGCCACGGAGGAUCAAGGCAAAAAACGAGAGCAAAAAAGGUAAGUCGAGGUUCAGAUAUAAAAAAUAGCAAGCUUAAUGAAUCGAUUGUGCAGCUGUCCUACUGCGCUUACUCUGAUAUAACCACGAUUAACAACACAAUAGUAUUGAUAAUCUAACUUCUGAAUUAUCACAGGUGCACGCUGAAGGCGGAAAUGAAGCAUGAUCUGGCUUGCAUCUGGUGCAUGAAGAAAUUGCUGACACGUUAGUUGCAGUCUACCUCCACCAACAGGGUGGAAAACAAAGGUCGCCAUUCCGAUUAGCUGCUAUCUCCCAGUUCAAGCACUUUUGCUGUCUGGACACUGGUUCCUGUGGAUGGGGUGUUACAAGCUUCACUGUCUGAUAUAGAAGUGAUGAGCAUCCAUAAGGACACAUGCCAGAAAGGGAGUCUCUUUGGGAUGACAAACCCUCAUCACCUCAUGAGGAUACAAUGGUUGACGAAUGGUUCUCAAGCACAUCGAAACUUCAACAAAUAAUUCAUGAAAAAGCCAGUCAGUGCUAGCACCAGGAAUUGAACGUGGACCGUCCUGCUACCAGUCAGAGAUGUUACAUUUCAGGCGCUCAUUGACUUUUGGUGAAUUACUUGUUGACUUUGUCCCAAGGUGGAGCUCGCCACAGCUCAUUUGCCUAUCUGUUAAUGUUGUGGCGUGUGUUGCGUUUUUCUCUUUGUGUGUUCCAGACUCAGAACGGUUAAUUUGGAUCAGGUCAGGUACGUUUCAUUUAGACAUGGCAAACAUAAAGUGGUGUUUCUCAACACAACUUAGCAGUGGCCUUCAUGCAUUACUGCUACGGCCAUUAAGCGUGAAUGGAAAGCUGCACAUUAUGCAUGAUGUAAAACCCCAAGACUAGGGAACACGAAGGGACAGACACAAACACGUCCCUUUGUGUUCCCUAGUCUCGGGGUUUUACAUAUGCAUCAUCUUCACCAGCUCGCUUGCUUCCUAGCCAUUUUUUCUGCACAUUAUGUUCACUCUACUUUUAUCGUGUGCUAUAAUCUUGUUCAAGUUCUGUCAAACGACGUGUAAUGCUAUAAAAAAAUUCAGUACACUGUUUAUGUGGGUUGAAUGGUAGCGCAUGAAUGCAGGAAGGAAACUGUCAUGUUAUGGCAAGUGUUUACGUAUUGUACAUUUAACUACUAAUUUUAUUGGUUAGCUUUCGCCGGCGUAUCAUGUCAAGCCAUGUUAUAUUAAUUUGGAACAUGUUCUUCUUAGUAGCCAGAGCAGCUGAUACACAGUGAGAACAUAGCCCGUGUGUGUUUGUCUUUUCCACCGCAGCCCUUGGGUUUCCUCCCUGAUGGCUACACAUGUCAGGGAUAGGUUUCAGAACCGGUAGUUCCCGCCAAGUGUGAAUUGCUUUUCAGGGGAUCAUCACGCUGGCAGAUGAAACAUAUGGUUUAAAUUAUUUGCAGGACAGGAAUUGCGUAGCUUCACACAAAUACUACUACUACGACGUAAGAGUGGUUUCAAAUCUAGCUUUUUUGUGUUCCUGACAUUAUCGCACAAGAUGUAAGUACU
Ornithodoros turicata is the source of this 1582-nucleotide long non-coding RNA. RefSeq lists it as uncharacterized. Lineage: Eukaryota; Metazoa; Arthropoda; Arachnida; Ixodida; Argasidae. The transcript is spliced from 3 exons. The record is from RefSeq and is a predicted model, not a curated record.